GGAUUAUGGCUCAGUGGUAGAGCACUUGCCUAGCAUGAAUGAGGCACUGGGUUCUAUCCCCAGCACCA
RNAcentral lists this transfer RNA (68 nucleotides) under Marmota monax (woodchuck). RNAcentral's name for it is "tRNA.Ala". Lineage: Eukaryota; Metazoa; Chordata; Mammalia; Rodentia; Sciuridae. The record is from RNAcentral.